CCCUUAGAUGUUCUGGGCCGCACGCGCGCUACACUGACGAAUGCAACGAGCUUAUAACCUUGGCCGAAAGGUCUGGGUAAUCUCCAAAUUUCGUCGUGAUGGGGAUAGAUUAUUGCAAUUAUUAAUCUUCAACGAGGAAUGCCUAGUAAGCGCAAGUCAUCAGCUUGCGUUGAUUACGUCCCUGCCCUUUGUACACACCGCCCGUCGCGCCUACCGAUUGAAUGGUCCGGUGAAAUCUCGGGACGGCGGCUUGGUCGCUUGCGUCCGACUGCUGAAACUUGAUUAAACCAUAUCAUUUAGAGGAAGGUGAAGUCGUAACA
Molecule: ribosomal RNA, 320 nt
Filed under: uncultured eukaryote
Lineage: Eukaryota
Description: partial 18S ribosomal RNA
Rfam family: Eukaryotic small subunit ribosomal RNA
Source: RNAcentral